RNAcentral lists this transfer RNA (66 nucleotides) under Nesophrosyne sp. 126 GMB-2012. RNAcentral describes it as "tRNA-Met". The record is from RNAcentral. Lineage: Eukaryota; Metazoa; Arthropoda; Insecta; Hemiptera; Cicadellidae.
AAAAAGAUAAGCUAAGUAAGCUAUUAGGUUCAUACCCUAAACAUAGAAUUAAUACUCUUCUUUUUA